RNAcentral lists this long non-coding RNA (219 nucleotides) under Gallus gallus (chicken). Lineage: Eukaryota; Metazoa; Chordata; Aves; Galliformes; Phasianidae. The record is from RNAcentral.
CGAGGCCACGCUGAGCCACUUCUUCCUAACAGCGCAUGUGGGACCCGAGGAAAAUGUCCUUGCACGUUUGGAGGCGAAAGAGAGAAGUAUUCUACUGGAAGUCCGGUGCUUCUCGUGAGGCACAGUCAUUGAGGCAGAAGGGACAAGUGUUCAUUUAUGUCCCCAUGCAAAGUUAGUGAGGAGGAACAACCCACCUUUUCCCCACUUAGAAUCGUUCCC